Molecule: small RNA, 29 nt
Filed under: Bombyx mori (domestic silkworm)
Lineage: Eukaryota; Metazoa; Arthropoda; Insecta; Lepidoptera; Bombycidae
Description: ovarian small RNA-12633
Source: RNAcentral
AUGGGGAUAGUCCCGGAUUCGGGGACCUC